RNAcentral lists this ribosomal RNA (301 nucleotides) under uncultured bacterium. RNAcentral describes it as "partial 16S ribosomal RNA". It matches the Rfam family "Bacterial small subunit ribosomal RNA", at positions 509 to 809 of the family's 1533-position model. The record is from RNAcentral.
CAGCCGCCGCGGUAAUACGGAGGGAGCUAGCGUUGUUCGGAAUCACUGGGCGUAAAGCGUACGCAGGCGGUUUGUUAAGUCAGAUGUGAAAUCCCCGAGCUUAACUCGGGAACUGCAUUUGAAACUGGCAGGCUAGAGUCUCGUAGAGGGGGGUAGAAUUCCAGGUGUAGCGGUGAAAUGCGUAGAGAUCUGGAGGAAUACCGGUGGCGAAGGCGGCCCCCUGGACAAAGACUGACGCUCAGGUGCGAAAGCGUGGGGAGCAAACAGGAUUAGAGACCCCCGUAGCCCUGUCUCUUAUACA